GCGCUUCUAGCUCAACUGGAUAGAGCAUCUGACUACGGAUCAGAAGGUUGCAAGUUCGAAUCCUGCGAGGCGCGCCA
This 77-nucleotide transfer RNA is filed under the name Puniceicoccales bacterium. RNAcentral's name for it is "tRNA-Arg". It matches the Rfam family "tRNA". Rfam says of the family: Transfer RNA (tRNA) molecules are approximately 80 nucleotides in length. Lineage: Bacteria; Pseudomonadati; Verrucomicrobiota; Opitutia; Puniceicoccales. The record is from RNAcentral.